Long non-coding RNA from Balaenoptera musculus (blue whale), 134 nucleotides. RefSeq lists it as uncharacterized. The record is from RefSeq and is a predicted model, not a curated record. The transcript is spliced from 3 exons. Lineage: Eukaryota; Metazoa; Chordata; Mammalia; Artiodactyla; Balaenopteridae.
UUGAUGCCUGCUCCUUUUAAUCUUUUACGGUUUAGAGGGCUUUCUCACUGGGAUGCAGAUGCUUGCACGUGUAACUUUAUUAAAAAUUAAUAGAAAGGCUGGGACCAAACCUAUAAAUGUGAAUGGGGAUUGGC